Long non-coding RNA from Anopheles gambiae (African malaria mosquito), 1205 nucleotides. RefSeq lists it as uncharacterized. Lineage: Eukaryota; Metazoa; Arthropoda; Insecta; Diptera; Culicidae. The record is from RefSeq and is a predicted model, not a curated record. The transcript is spliced from 2 exons.
AAGCGGAAAACUAACUGUCAGUUUUCUUCGUCAAUUCUUCUUCCACCUAGCUGUCAAAACGGGCUUAUAACUUGACCUGAUAUCUUUACGGUCUUUGGCUUUACUACUUGGAUUAGCCGAGGCUCGGUAUUCUAUCUGUCAUUCGCCAUUCUGUUAAUCUCGUGCUAAUGAAACGAAAACCUUUCGGAGUGAUGUUGUGAUCCCAAGUGCCACAAAUCCACUAAACGACCACUAAACGGCUUCAAAACGACUCAAGUUCUCUACCUAAACGGAAUAUAGAAAGACUUCGUUUAGCAGACGGCAAACGACUCAUGCAUUCUAAAAUUAGCAAAAAAGCUGGUGGCGCUCUCUGUUGGUGGGAUACCCCAACCAGUUGAGAUUCAACGCUUGGAGGAGAGCUUUCUCAUUUCCUCUGUACUGUUGUAUGGUUUCGCAUUGAAGUUAUGCAUCGCUAGAACUAGAACGGCGAUACGAUUGUUUAAAUACUAAACUCCAACGGAAACCACCAGCACUGAAGCAAGUGAGAUUUGAGUAAUGGUCGUUGGUGUUUUUGAUACCCACGUAUCUGACCACACGACCAUUCAUAUAGUUUUUUGCUCAGAAAGUUAGAAGGCUAUAUAGGUCAUGAUAAGAUGAAACUUGUCGAAACACAUUGCAAGAAAAGAAUAGCAAUAUAAUGAUGAGUUGUAAUACGCCAUCUAUUGAUCAAACCAAUGAAGCUGUGGAGCUUUCAUUUUUUUCUAUGGAUAUUCAAUUUUCCAGUCGUUUAAGCUGAAUCUGUGGCGCUUGGGAUGUAAAAUAAAAAAUGUAAAAAAAGUGAAAAUGAGUCUCUCAGCGUGAAAAAAACGAGAAUCAGUAGCGUGCGCUCGAGCACAGGUAUGGAGCGGGGUUGGGGCUAGGAAACUCCAUCAACGCACGCAACCGGUGCUCUUCAGAGCGUCGCUCGGAGCAGUCCCUAUUUAAGGAUCAGAUGUGGAAGCUAAUCCGGUUGGUUCAACCUUUGCCAGACCGUUCAGACUUCCAGGAUUCAUUUCCGGUCACCUACACGAGUGUCCGCUCCUUGUCCGGCUCAUUUUCCUGUACCGGUACCACAUCCAAACGCUGUGCCCCAUCCGGCGGUUGAAUCGGCGAAUGUCCCAACGCUUUCCAUCACAUCAAAAAAACCCAUUUGAUACGCAAAUAAAAUCACUAAAAUAAAAAUAAAA